CACCAGACUCCUACGGGAGGCAGCAGUGGGGAAUAUUGCGCAAUGGGCGAAAGCCUGACGCAGCGACGCCGCGUGAGGGAUGAAGGUCUUCGGAUCGUAAACCUCUGUCAGCAGGGAAGAACGGUCACUGUGCUAAUCAGCAGUGAAUUGACGGUACCUGCAAAGGAAGCACCGGCUAACUCCGUGCCAGCAGCCGCGGUAAUACGGAGGGUGCAAGCGUUACUCGGAAUCACUGGGCGUAAAGAGCGCGUAGGCGGGAUAGCAAGUCAGGGGUGAAAGCCCGGGGCCCAACCCCGGGACUGCCCUUGGAACUGCUUGGCUGGAGUGCGGGAGGGGCAGGCGGAAUUCCUGGUGUAGCGGUGAAAUGCGUAGAUAUCAGGAGGAACACCGGCGGCGAAGGCGGCCUGCUGGACCGUGACUGACGUUGAGGCUCGAGAGCGUGGGGAGCAAACAGGAUUAGAUACCCGCGUAUCA
Molecule: ribosomal RNA, 474 nt
Filed under: uncultured bacterium
Lineage: Bacteria
Description: partial 16S ribosomal RNA
Rfam family: Bacterial small subunit ribosomal RNA
Source: RNAcentral